Molecule: small nuclear RNA, 106 nt
Organism: Rattus norvegicus (Norway rat)
Lineage: Eukaryota; Metazoa; Chordata; Mammalia; Rodentia; Muridae
Source: Ensembl
AUGCACAUGUUGACAGCAGCUAUACUGAAGUUGGAAGGAUACAGAGAAAAUUAGCAAGGCCCUAUGCAAGGAUGGCACCCAAAUUCCUGAAGCAGUCCACAUUUGU